GUGGGGAAUAUUGCGCAAUGGGCGAAAGCCUGACGCAGCGACGCCGCGUGGGUGAUGAAGGCCUUCGGGUCGUAAAGCCCUGUCGGGGGGGAAGAAACCUCGACGGCCUAAUAGGCCGUCGACUUGACGGUACCUCCUAAGGAAGCACCGGCUAACUCCGUGCCAGCAGCCGCGGUAAUACGGAGGGUGCAAGCGUUGUUCGGAAUCACUGGGCGUAAAGCGCGUGUAGGCGGUCUCUUAAGUCUGGUGUGAAAGCCCGGGGCUCACCCCCGGAAGGGCACUGGAUACUGCGAGACUCGAGUACCGGAGAGGAAGGUGGAAUUCCUGGUGUAGCGGUGAAAUGCGUAGAUAUCAGGAGGAACACCGGUGGCGAAGGCGGCCUUCUGGACGGCUACUGACGCUGAGACGCGAAAGCGUGGGGAGCAAACAGGAUUAGAAACCCGUGUAGUCC
Molecule: ribosomal RNA, 451 nt
Filed under: uncultured bacterium
Lineage: Bacteria
Description: bacterial SSU rRNA
Rfam family: Bacterial small subunit ribosomal RNA
Source: RNAcentral